CUUCGGGUACCNCAACCGGCGCACGGGUGCGUAACGCGUAUACAAUCUGCCUUUCACAUAGGGAUAGCCCGAAGAAAUUUGGAUUAAUACCUAAUGGUAUAUAAGAGCGGCAUCGUUUUUAUAUUAAAGCUACGGUGGUGAAAGAUGAGUAUGCGUUCUAUUAGCUAGUUGGAGAGGUAACGGCUCCCCAAGGCGACGAUAGAUAGGGGUUCUGAGAGGGAUGUCCCCCACACUGGUACUGAGAUACGGACCAGACUCCUACGGGAGGCAGCAGUGAGGAAUAUUGGACAAUGGUCGGAAGACUGAUCCAGCCAUGCCGCGUGCAGGAUGAAGGUCCUAUGGAUUGUAAACUGCUUUUGUAAGGGAAGAAUAAGGAGUACGUGUACUUUGAUGACGGUACCUUACGAAUAAGCAUCGGCUAACUCCGUGCCAGCAGCCGCGGUAAUACGGAGGAUGCGAGCGUUAUCCGGAAUCAUUGGGUUUAAGGGGUCCGUAGGCGGGCUGAUAAGUCAGAGGUGAAAGCGCUUAACUCAACUAAGCAACUGCCUUUGAAACUG
This 557-nucleotide ribosomal RNA is filed under the name uncultured bacterium. RNAcentral describes it as "bacterial SSU rRNA". It matches the Rfam family "Bacterial small subunit ribosomal RNA", at positions 78 to 635 of the family's 1533-position model. The record is from RNAcentral.